Molecule: small nuclear RNA, 107 nt
Filed under: Castor canadensis (American beaver)
Lineage: Eukaryota; Metazoa; Chordata; Mammalia; Rodentia; Castoridae
Source: RNAcentral
GUGCUUACUUAGGCAGCACAUAUACUAAAAUUAGAACAAUACAAAGAAGAUUAGCAUAGCCCUUGCACAAGGAUGACACACAAAUUCAUGAAGCAUUCUAUAUUUUU